AGCAGCCGCGGUAAUUCCAGCCCCAAUAGCGUAUAUUAAAGUUGUUGCAGUUAAAAAGCUCGUAGUUGAAUUUCGGGGUCUGUCCGUCGGUCGGGCUUCACGGUCCGUACUGGUGUGAUGGGUUCCUACCUUCUGAAUAACCGGCAUGCCAUUCAGUUGGUGCGCCGGGGAAGCAGAGCUAUUACCUUGAAAAAAUUAGAGUGCUUAAAGCAGGCUAGUGCUUGAAUAGAUUAGCAUGGAAUAAUAAAAUAGGACGGCAUGGUUCUAUUUUGUUGGUUUCUAGGAUCACCGUAAUGAUUAAUAGGGAUAGUUGGGGGCAUUAGUAUUCAAUUGUCAGAGGUGAAAUUCUUGGAUUUAUUGAAGACUAACUUCUGCGAAAGCAUUUGCCAAGGAUGUUCUCAUUAAUCAAGAACGAAAGUUAGGGGAUCGAAGACGAUCAGAUACCGUCGUAGUCUUAACCAUAAACUAUGCCGGCUAGGAUCGGACGAUGUUAAUUUUUUAAUGACUCGCUCGGCGCCUU
RNAcentral lists this ribosomal RNA (520 nucleotides) under uncultured Acaulospora. RNAcentral describes it as "SSU rRNA". It matches the Rfam family "Eukaryotic small subunit ribosomal RNA", at positions 569 to 1089 of the family's 1831-position model. Lineage: Eukaryota; Fungi; Glomeromycota; Glomeromycetes; Diversisporales; Acaulosporaceae. The record is from RNAcentral.